Molecule: long non-coding RNA, 695 nt
Filed under: Junco hyemalis (dark-eyed junco)
Lineage: Eukaryota; Metazoa; Chordata; Aves; Passeriformes; Passerellidae
Description: lncRNA (ENSJHYG00000001400.1)
Source: RNAcentral
GGCACCAGAGGUGGCACCAAGGAACACCCACAGCACUCCGGUGACAUUGAGGGACACAGGACACCGGCGGGGGUGGCACCGGGGACACCGAUGGGCACGGAUGGCACCAAGGGAUGGCAGUGCCACCCUGGGGACACCUCGAUGACACCCUGGUGCCACCCUGCGGGCAGUGCCAGCGUCGUUUAUUGGGGUGGGGACAGCCGGGGGUGGCACGUGUCCCCAAACGUGUCCCUGAUGCGUCACACACACGGUGUCACAGCUGUCACGUGUGUCACACACGUGUCACACAUUGUCACACGUGUCACACACGCAUUGUCACACGUGUCACACACGUGUCCCCAGCAGCACAGGGACACGGGCGUGGCCACGUGGCCGUGGUGGCAUCAGGCAGGACACGUGUCCCCUGUGCCACCCACAGGGGCAUCACCCAUGGGUGGCAUCAGCAGGGACAGUGGGUGCUGGCAUUGUCACCUGUCACCAACACUGUCACCAACACGGACACAGUGAGUGACAGCGGGUACUGCCAUUGUCACCUGUCACCAACACUGUCACAGUGUGUGACACCGCCUGUUGUCCUUUCUGUCACCAACACCACAGUGACACCAGCUGCUGUCACUGUCACCAACAUGGUCACAGGAUGUCACAUCAGCUGUGCUCAUUGUCCCCUGUCACCAACACUGUCGCAGUGAUGCCAU